RNAcentral lists this long non-coding RNA (3025 nucleotides) under Varroa destructor (honeybee mite). Its description in RNAcentral is "uncharacterized LOC111250187". The record is from RNAcentral. Lineage: Eukaryota; Metazoa; Arthropoda; Arachnida; Mesostigmata; Varroidae.
GUGAUAUACUAAUAGAUAUCAAAGAAACUCAGAUUACGAAGAAAAUCAUAAUGAGAGUCUAAAGAAAGAAUGAAAGGAACAGUCAUGGGCAUACCUUCGAUCUAAUUAAAUUAUCGAGCACUUCGUUGAAGUAAAUUAUGACAACAAUGCACUUACUGGACCGCCGCAUCAAGCACACUUGAAUAUAUUUACGAUACCAUCGCCUGAUUCAUUCAACGUCAUCAGCAGAUCUCAUCUUAAAGGUUUCGUGAAUACGCAAUGGAACGCCGCGACGGUAGCACACGCAGCGAGUUAUUGUAUAAUCUCAAUAUUCUGUAGAGGUCUCCAAAUGGACGCAACGUCUGUUAUACAUACUCGCAACAACUGAACCACUUGUCACGGAUAUCCAAUACGAGCUACGACAAUACAGCUGGAACUAUAUUUCAAUGGAAGACUUUAGCUGCCGAUACCAACCUGAAGCCAAUUUCUUUGUUGUGUAUCGAGCUUAGCUACAACGACAGGUCACUGGGACGAUGUUACGCCAUUUUGUGGACUAUUUGCCCCUUUAUCACUCUCUUUAGCAUCAUAAGACACAAAUAAAUUAUUACAGAGACAAAGAGUUUAUUGUCUAUAUGGUUUAUUAACGCGCCAGCGUGUUGUGCACUAGUUAAAAAAGUGUGUCUAACUCUCGAAAUAGGAAUCCAUAAAUUUUUAUUUUAGAGCUUGACAUCUUUUAAUGAAUACUAGCAGUGUAUCUAAACCUAGGUAAAUCAACAACGCUGUGUUACUUUAAAUUGUAAUUGGAAUCAAAAUAACGAUGUCUGCGUCGCUAUUGCCCUUUGUACGACUAAUUCUGCCCUGGAGUCUACCUGUUUUACCUGAUUGCCUACAAUCUACCUACAGUGUGCGCUUGCUAACUGUAUCGUAGUUGCAUAAUGAGACUGGUACCUGCAUCACUAGGUGAACGUUAUGCUGCCUUGUCUGUAAUAGCGUAUAAUUGUAAAGAACAGCCUCAUUUCUCGUAAUACUUUCGUCGGUAUUUAUCACACCGGUUACGCAUGAGUCUAAUUGGAAGGUGUCACUGAGAGACCUAACUUAUUCAGCUAAGUUUCGUGGACAGAGACUAGGACUGCCGUCGCGAAGUUAGUAGGCACGUAGCAGCUUGAUGAUGGGCAUAUCUUUUUACAGCAGCUAUAUAUAUACACUCAGAAUAUAUAUAUAUGAGUUGCUCAUAGUAACCAUAGCAGCAUAUAUAACUUAGUUAGAAAUCACACAGGGCGCCAUUUGGCAUCGAAUAACAGCCGGAUGUGGUCGUGGUUGGCAAUAGAUUCUCGUGGCAGCUGAGCUACUAUUAGCAGCGAUCGUCAACGUAAGUGCGCUGGCAGCCAGGUCAGAAGGUGAUCCUGGUGAUGUGGUAGCAAUGGUCGACACACAGAUUUUCCGUCCAGUGUCUAGCUGGACCCUCUUUCCCUGUCCUAUGUAUAAGAAAUGCUUGAUAAUUUACUGGUUUUUCUAACUUAUGCUUUUUGGUGGGUAAAGAUGUUUGCAUUUUCUUGUAUCCCGAAGAUGAACAAAUACACUUAACAGUAAAUUUUGUCUUGACCUCUAGUCUAAACUCGCAGUCGAUACGCGUCCCGUUCACUCGGCACUGCUACUUCCCACGACUGCUUGUUACACGUAGCCGCUGGUGACAAGAUGAAUCAACCGGCAGCCUACCUGCUUGUACACGCCGUAUUAUAUUAUAUAUGGCUCAUUCGACGCCAACGAGUUAUUGCGUAUCUGGUGUGGGUGAGAACAUGGCUUGUAGCCUGGUGAAACAGGCGACACCUAGACUUCAUCGGCCGAUUUGUCAAUUUAGAUCAAAGCUUCUGUCCAGGUUGUUUUCGGGUUUGAGUCUCUGCUCUAUUCCUGCGUAUUUCUGCGUGUCUGUCAAUAGCAGAGUGCGGUUUCGGUACGGAGUCACUACGUAUGGUCUGUUGUAGUGUUCCGACUGACUGGCCUCUGGCUUCUUCUGCUCCCCCGCAAAGAAAGAAACAGCGGGGUACAAAAAUACGGUAUUGAAGCAAACCAUAUAGAGUUUUUUCCGCUGACAUUUCCGCCAGCUCAUGGUUGAUUAUUCAGUCCGAAGUGCAGAACGGUCGACGGGACAACGCCACCAUUACAAGCAAGAUCAGUGCAGAGUAAAGCAGGCCGGGGGUCGCUAGCUUUCAUUUUGCCUUUCAGCAAAAGAGCAAACAAGCAGCUCUCUGUUUCCUUCAAGCCCUUUCCCUCAACACUCGUAGUCUAUAUCACCAACUACGCAUUUCGACGCCUAUUUCAAGAUGAUUUCUCCGAUUCCAUCUCGCCUUUGUCCCCUCAUCUUCCCUUCUCCUGCCGCCGUUGCCCGGAGAACAGAUUGGAGACGCAAGACUGCAGAUGCUGGGCCUAUGGUCUGAAAUUGCAGUAGGGCCACGUUGAUGAAACAGUCAGCUAGGCAGGCAUUGACAUUUUGAUGGUGAUAAGGAUGAGACGUUGCACCGGGAGCCGGUUUGUCGCCACCCGAAACAAACAUCUAGGACCAUAAGAAUGAGAGCGCUAUUGUGGAAAGUGCAGCAGCUAAAAAAUGAAACAGAGGAUGGCUGGUGAUGUACGAGAAAGAGUAUGUUGGUUUCUCCCUUCUCAUUCUAUCGCAUUGAAAUUGUAUCGUUAGCUUCAGGGAAAGCACACUCUAGCCACGAUAGUCAAAAUUUCACGUAAACUGAUGGCCACACAUGGCAUAUCUAAAAAGGCUCUGUGUCUGACAUUUACUCUGGUGAAUACAAUACGAGUGAGAAAGUACUGAUAUUGGAGCAAUGUUGGAGCCGGGUUAAAGUGUCUAAAAGCGUUUUAUGAUAAAAAAAAAAAAAAUCGCCUCCUACUAUUCGGACGGAACAAAGAAAGAUUCCGUAUUUCAUUACAGCGCCACUAACAGCGCGUAACGUAAAAAAAGCAAACCGAGUUCCUUCUUUUUGAUGCAAAUCUAUGUUAUAUUCGUGUAUGCGUGUCCUACAUUCUAUUCAUACAUAGU